RNAcentral lists this unclassified non-coding RNA (331 nucleotides) under soil metagenome. Its description in RNAcentral is "partial contains 5.8S ribosomal RNA, internal transcribed spacer 2, and large subunit ribosomal RNA". The stretch from base 1 to 120 matches the Rfam family "5.8S ribosomal RNA", at positions 35 to 154 of the family's 154-position model. The record is from RNAcentral.
GAUGAAGAACGCAGCGAAAUGCGAUAAGUAGUGUGAAUUGCAGAAUUCAGUGAAUCAUCGAAUCUUUGAACGCACAUUGCGCCUCCUGGCAUUCCGGGAGGCAUGCCUGUUCGAGCGUCAUUUCACCACUCAAGCCUCGCUUGGUAUUGGGCAACGCGGUCCGCCGCGUGCCUCAAAUCGUCCGGCUGGGUCUUCUGUCCCCUAAGCGUUGUGGAAACUAUUCGCUAAAGGGUGUUCGGGAGGCUACGCCGUAAAACAACCCCAUUUCUAAGGUUGACCUCGGAUCAGGUAGGGAUACCCGCUGAACUUAAGCAUAUCAAUAAGCGGAGGA